Long non-coding RNA from Bombyx mori (domestic silkworm), 4317 nucleotides. RefSeq lists it as uncharacterized. The transcript has 2 exons. The record is from RefSeq and is a predicted model, not a curated record. Lineage: Eukaryota; Metazoa; Arthropoda; Insecta; Lepidoptera; Bombycidae.
CGAUGCGACCCGACGCGGCGCCGGGAGAUGGGCAGCUUCAACAAAAUUUAAAGUUAACGAUGUCCUAAGUAUCGAUUCAACUUAAUUUUCAUGUUGUUCUAAACAACAAGGUGAGAGUGGGGCGGCUCAUGCAAUGGUUUCAUUUUUUAAAUCGAAAACAAUUGAACGAGUUCUUUGAACAGAUGUCGAUCUUGCGGAAGUGAUUAACAUUCAUGUUGACUUUUGGUCUGGUUUGCGCUGAGAACAAAACUUUGUUAACUUAUCAUAAAUUAAUGUUAACAUAUUUGAAGAAAUAUAAGCGUUUUUGCGACGUAGAUUUUUUCGAAAACUAUUUAGGAGUCACAACUAGAUUGUUAAUUUUAUGUACAUUAAAAUCACUUUUUGGUAUUACUCGCGCGACCCGCUUGACAACAACGGUGCUGCACCGGCGUCUAUGUCUCUGAAACUAAAAAAGCUUAGACAAUUGUGAAACUAUGCCACGUCAUUACGGAUUCUCCCGAUCCACUAACGGUGCUUUAGGUACCGCAAGCACCAGUCACCAUCCUCGUCGAACCCGUCGCUUGCGACGAAGGCCCACUGUGUUUCCCGCCGGAUCUUCUCAGUGAGUCGCGUUUCCGAUCCGGUGGUACAUUCUGCGAAGCACUGCUCUUGCUAGGGCCAGUGUUAGCAACACUCCGGUUUGAGCCCUGUGAGCUCACCUACACGUUAGGGUUCAGCUGAAAUAGCCUCUCAAGGCUAUCAAUAUAGGUAAAAAAAAAAGUGAAGCUACCGAAUAUAGUAAGUCGACCUCAUAGUCCGAGGUACCGCCGGCGGCUACGUGAGCGGUCGCCGAAACAAAACAAAGAAGAAUAUUGUAACGACCAAAAUAAAUGUAUAGUUGUUUUUAUUGUUCGUGCAGGCAAAUGAGCAUACGGCCCCUCUAAUGGUGAGUGGUUACCGUCACCCAUGGAUGUCAGCAAACCCAGGGGCAGAGCCAAGCCGCUGCCUGCCUCUAGUCAGUAAAUUAGUUUAGAUUUCAUAUAAAAUAUGUAUUUAUCCUGCCCCAAGUCUGCACAGAGUACGCGUGGAGUAUGUUCGGAUACGUAGCCGCUCGGAACUCGGCGAGCCUUUAGUCAGUGAGAAUAUAGCACCUCAAGCUGCAUUGCACAUUUCUCCUUCAGCACCUGAAGAAUACUUCGUAUCGCAUCUCCCAGCUACAACGGGUCGUUGCUUGCGAUGGCUCAGAGAACUAGAGAUGUGGGUGAAAAGCCUUGAAACACUACCUUAAGUAAGCUCCAAAGCUAGCCAUGGGAUUGGCGUCAGAACAAAUUAAAGCCCGUGAUUAACGUUUUUUCCUCAACUUUUAUUGAAGUAAUAGUUUUUUUAGGGCCGGGGCCGAGCCUCCUACCAGGUCCCCGAGUAAGUGGGACUCCGCUAGGGACCUGCGUCAGCGUCAGUCCGAACUAAGGCAUAUCAUUCAAGGAGUGCGUUCCUUGUGAUUUCAACUUCAAUGCCCCGCGGAUGCCUCAGAACAAAUCUCACACUAACGUUGUUACAGCAAAGAUUGUAGUGUUCUCCGUAGGUAUCGCUGUGAUAAGUCUCAGAUAACUCCUCAGCUGUCGACGUGCAGUCGCCGUUACAUAACCAGAUCCCUUAUCAAAGGGAAUGGAUGUUCUUGUGUGAUAUGAUUAUCCGGUGAUCGAUAAUUUACACAGAACUUAGAAUUUAUAGACAUGUUCCCGUAUUUACAAUUUUAUAAUUCUUUAUUUAAAGAACUUAUGGUAAUUUAAAGCAUUGAGCAUAUGAAUAGAAUACAUUUUAUUAGGUUAUGUUGUUUAUUAUGUUAUGUAUAUGACGGCGUUAACGAUAUUUCUGUUUAGCACGUGCAAUAGGAGUGACUCACAGAAGCCAGGUGCGCCGGCCGUGUCGUUCGACUCGUAAACAACAGGUGCAACAGAAGUGACUCAUAAAUAAGCCAGCUGCGCCGGCCAGUAUAAAAAGGCGGUACGUGCCUCGCAAUGAACAUUCGCUGGACUGCGUUUGCCUGGUGCAUUUACUAUAUCCUUGUUACGUUGUGUGAUUCAGUGACUGUUGUACGUACUGGUUAAAGUUGGACAAGUGUUAAAGUGAAUUGUUAAGAUAACAUAUUGUUGAUUAAAUCAGGAAUCAAGAAGUGACUUCGUUUUACUUGGUGUUCAGCAAGAUAAUGUCUACCCUCAAGCUUAUAUAUAUGUAUAUGUCGGCACACGUCAGGGAUGGCUGAGCGGUAGUUUCGUCAUCACUCGUAUUCGAUUGAACUCAGUUUAGUCAAUAAAACUUUUCAAUAAUAAUUAUUGAAACUCAACACACACAACUUUCACAAUGACAGGAUAAACCGACAGUUUCGUUGCACAUACCGACAGACCGACUGACUGACUGACUGACUGUCAGAGACUCACUACUGAGACGGACGGAAUCACUGUCUGACACGAGUGCCACGACUCUGUCCACGUACCGCCAUUUUAUACUGUGGCGUUACGGAGUCUACCCUUCAUUUUGUGAUAUUUAUCAAAACAACAUUUCAUCAUUUAAAAUAAUAAUCAAAACCACCAUCUUAAUAUUACUAAAAGUCGUUAUCCACGACAACUAAAAGUUAUCCACGACAUAUAUAUAUAUAUUUUUUUUUAUUGCUUAGAUGGAUGGACGAGCUCACAGCCCACCUGGUGUUAAGUGGUUACUGGAGCCCAUAGACAUCUACAACGUAAAUGCGCCACCCACCUCGAGAUAUAAGUUCUAAGGUCUCAGUAUAGUUACAGCGGCUACCCCACCCUUCGAACCGAAACGCAUUACUGCUUCACGGCGGAAAUAGGCGGGGUAGUGGUACCUACCCGUGCGGACUCACAAGAGGUCCUACCACCAGUGAUUACGCAAAUUAUAAUUUUGCGGGUUUGGUUUUUAUUACACGAUGUUAUUCCUUCACCGUGGAAGUCAAUCGUGAACAUUUGUUGAGUACGUAUUUCAUUAGAAAAAUUGGUACCCGCCUGCGGGAUUCGAACACCGGUGCAUCGCUUCAACACGAAUGCACCGGACGUCUUAUCCUUUAGGCCACGACGACUUCAUAUAUAAAAUAUAACAUAACAUACAUAUAUGUAUGUUAUGUUAUAUUUUAUUAUGUUAUCAGAUGUUAAGUGGUUAUCGGAAGAUUUUUCUUGUGAGUCGACGUCUUCGUUUUCUGAAGGUCGUGUCUAAUUUGAUAACUGUUCUAUCAUCACCCGCGGCAUAACUCCUCUCCAUGUGUCUCUAUCAUCGGUAGUCCCAAACGGUUCAGAUAUUGAUAUGACGGUAAGCGAUGCUAUCCGUUUUGACCAGCACAUAGGUCACUGACCACGUGGUCUUUUCCCGUCGAUGUGACCUAUCAGCUUUUCGUGGUUGUUAGGAUUUCUCUUCAAAGUACAUAGUUUCGUAUGCGUAUUGUAGAAAAUGUUAUUUUUGUGUGGAGCUCUUCUAGAAUGGGAUGCGUAACGUUGCUUUCCAACACCACAUCCCAAAUGCCUCGAUCUUGGAUCUCUCUUUGUGAUACAAUGUAAUUCAUAUUUGGACGUCGUGUGGACGUUGGAAGGGUGUCGUUAUUCUCAUCGUGAUGUCUGUGGGCUUCUGCAACUCAUAACCUCGAGUGAGCUGUCAGCAGGUACACUCAUGUCUGCAUAACAACAUAACGUUUCACUGUAGACGUUGUCUUCAGAUACAGACAGACGUCGGGCCGCUGGACAAGGCCGAAGAAGUAUUUGAUCCGCUCGCUGCUCUUGCCGCCACCGGCCCGCCCGCGCACACUGCCACGGGCCCGUGGGCUUAUCUUGUAUGCCUGUUUCUAGUUCCUUUGUUUGCGUAAGCCAGGGGAUAAAUCUUAGAGCCAUGACCGGGAUUACUGGUGGCUUGGAAGCCUUUCGACUUUUAAGGAGACCUAACAACUUAAAAGCAGUUCCUUCACGAAUGAAUCCACCACCGGAACGAAAUCGCGACCCGCUGAGAAGAUCGAGCGAGAAACUCAGCGAGCUGAUAUAUUAUUAUGGGUUAAGUUGCACGUCGAGCUUUUUGCCGAGUCCGACGAGUACGGUUACCGGGAUCCCUACUCCUAGUGUUAGAGCCGAAGGCGUCUAAUGCAAGAGUUAUUAGCUCCGAUGGAUCAGUAAGGUGACUGGCUCAUGCGUGAGCAGGAUUCGAGAAGUACUCAACGGCGACAACGAUAAGGCGAUUACCAGGAUGCAUAGUCUUAUCGAAGUACCGUUCCGACACUGACUUAAUAUGUUUUCGGAUCGAUUCGUAAAUUUGUAAAUUAAAUUAAACAUUUUCUUGUCACAA